Molecule: ribosomal RNA, 673 nt
Filed under: uncultured Pseudomonadota bacterium
Lineage: Bacteria; Pseudomonadati; Pseudomonadota
Description: bacterial SSU rRNA
Rfam family: Bacterial small subunit ribosomal RNA
Source: RNAcentral
AGCGGGCGAGGUUGCUUCGGUAACUGAGCUAGCGGCGGACGGGUGAGUAAUGCUUAGGAAUCUGCCUAUUAGUGGGGGACAACAUUCCGAAAGGAAUGCUAAUACCGCAUACGCCCUACGGGGGAAAGCAGGGGAUCUUCGGACCUUGCGCUAAUAGAUGAGCCUAAGUCAGAUUAGCUAGUUGGUGGGGUAAAGGCCUACCAAGGCGACGAUCUGUAGCGGGUCUGAGAGGAUGAUCCGCCACACUGGGACUGAGACACGGCCCAGACUCCUACGGGAGGCAGCAGUGGGGAAUAUUGGACAAUGGGCGAAAGCCUGAUCCAGCCAUGCCGCGUGUGUGAAGAAGGCCUUUUGGUUGUAAAGCACUUUAAGCGAGGAGGAGGCUACCGAGAUUAAUACUCUUGGAUAGUGGACGUUACUCGCAGAAUAAGCACCGGCUAACUCUGUGCCAGCAGCCGCGGUAAUACAGAGGGUGCGAGCGUUAAUCGGAUUUACUGGGCGUAAAGCGUGCGUAGGCGGCUUCUUAAGUCGGAUGUGAAAUCCCUGAGCUUAACUUAGGAAUUGCAUUCGAUACUGGGAAGCUAGAGUAUGGGAGAGGAUGGUAGAAUUCCAGGUGUAGCGGUGAAAUGCGUAGCGAUCUGGAGGAAUACCGAUGGCGAAGGCAGCCAUCUGG